RNAcentral lists this non-coding RNA (24 nucleotides) under Arabidopsis thaliana (thale cress). The record is from RNAcentral. Lineage: Eukaryota; Viridiplantae; Streptophyta; Magnoliopsida; Brassicales; Brassicaceae.
UGUCCAGAAAUCGUUGUCUACAAA